RNAcentral lists this long non-coding RNA (2027 nucleotides) under Homo sapiens (human). RNAcentral's name for it is "HSALNT0016410". Lineage: Eukaryota; Metazoa; Chordata; Mammalia; Primates; Hominidae. The record is from RNAcentral.
GACCUCAGGUGAUUCACCUGCCUUGGCCUCCCAGAGUGCUAGGAUUACAAGCAUGAGCCACCACGCCCAGCUGUUUUUACAUUUUUAAAUGCUUGAAAAAGAUUUGAUAAUUAUUUCACAACACACAAAAAUUAUAUAAAAUUCACAUUUUAGUGUCCACAAAAGAAGGUUCAUUGGAACACAGCCAUGAUCAUUGUCUAUGGAUGCUUUCCCAAUAGAACUGGAGUGGUAUCAUUGUAUAGAGACCUGCAGAACCUGAAAAAUUUAUUCUCUAGCCCUUUACAGAAAGUAUGCCAACCCUUGAGCCGGGCACGGUGGCUCACACCUGUAAUCCCAGCACUUUGAGAGGCUGAGGCAGGUGGAUCAUGAGGUCAGGAGUUCGAGACCAGCCUGACCAACAUAGUGAAACCCCAUCUCUACUAAAAAUACAAAAAUUAGCCGGGCGUGGUGCUGUGUGCCUGUAAUCCCAGCUACUCGGGAGGCUGAGGCAGGAGAAUUGUUUGAACCCGGGAGGUGGAGGUUGCAGUGAGCCGAGAUUGCGCCACUGCACUCUAGCCUAGGCAACAGAGUGAGACUCUGCCUCAAAAGAAAAGAAAAAGAAAGAAAGAAAGUAUGCCAAACCUGACCUAGAAUACCCAAUUUAAAAUCAACCAUAGACGCUCUUAGGUGAGGUGCUGCAAAGUGAUUUACAGACCUUGCUACAUUACGUUUCCAAACUUUGCAGAAUACAUAUUACUACAAUUUUUAAGUGAGAAAACUAAGACUGACAUAAAACUUUGUCAAGAGUCUGGAAUUAAACAAGGUCUGCCUGACUUGGAAACCAGUAUUUUUUUCCAGUGCACAACACCCCUUCCUUAAAUCUCUGAGGGAUACUACAUUCUGAAUUAAUACAAGCAGUAUCCAUCCACUGGCCCUAAUUUUCUCCCUUCAGUCCAUUAAUACAGUAUAUCUAGACUAUAAUUUUGUUUUCCCUGAGUCUUUAUUAUCUGGGCUUAAUGCUGAUUCUUCAGAAGUUUCUACAUGACAAAAUUUUAGGUCCCUUCACCCUCCAGAUCACUCCUCUGAAUAUAUUCAUUUGUUGAUAAUGCCCUUAAAGUUUGGCACUUAAGACAGAACUUGAUGCAGGGGAAGGGUGCUGUCAGCAGAGUGCCUCCCUAGUUCUAAAAAUUCUACAUCUUUCCUACUUUAUCUAUGAAGAGUUGACUUUUUGAACCCAAAGGCAGAAUCUGACUUAUUACUAUUGAAUUUCAAUUCAAUAAAAUUUAAUAAGCUGGAGUUUACCAUUCCUGACUAUUUGAAUCCUCAUUCUGCACACUGAGAAUGUUGCAAUUCCUACUAACUCCUUGCCGUCCACAAAUAUGAUAUGCAUGCCUUCUGUUUUUCAUCCCGGUCACUGGCAAAAUUGCAUUAAGUUUUAUCCUUUACUCCAGAAGGUGGCACUCAUAGGCCCUCCAUUUCAUAAAGAGCCUCAUACUUAAUAUGCCUCACUCUGUCCAGAGUCUGUCUGUUGGGAUAGCAGACUCAAGUGAGAUUUUGUCACACUUCAGGGGAAACCGUAGGUCAAACAUCAUCACUUUUUUUUUUUUUUUUUUUUUUUGAGACUCAGUCUCACUGUCACCCAGGCGAGAGUGCAGUGGCGCCGUCUCGGCUCACUGUGAUGUCUGCCUCUCAGGUUCAAGCAAUUCUCGUGCCUCAGCCUCUCGUGUAGCUGCAGUUACAGGCACACACCACCACCCCACCCAGCUAAUUUUUGGUUUUUUGUUUUUUUGUUUUUUGAGAUGGAGUUUUGCUCUUGUUGCCCAGGCUGGAGUGCAAUGGCGUGAUCUCGGCUCACGCAACCUCUGCCUCCCGGGUUCAAGCGAUUCUCCCGCCUCAGCCUCCUGAGUAGCUGGGAUUAUAGGCAUGCACCACCAUGCCCGGCUAAUUUUUGUAUUUUUAGUAGAGACAGGGUUUCUCCAUGUUGGUCAGGCUGGUCUUGAACUCCCAACCUCAGGUGAUCCGCCCCCCUCGGCCUCCCAAAGUGCUGG